Molecule: ribosomal RNA, 476 nt
Filed under: uncultured marine bacterium
Lineage: Bacteria
Description: bacterial SSU rRNA
Rfam family: Bacterial small subunit ribosomal RNA
Source: RNAcentral
GUCGAGGGGCAGCGGGGAAAAGCUUGCUUUUCCGCCGGCGACCGGCGCACGGGUGCGCACCGCGUAUGGAACCUGCCUUGUACAGGGGAAUAGCCCAGGGAAACUUGGAUUAAUGCCCCGUAGUACCGUAUUUCGGCAUCGUUAUACGGUUAAAGCCUUCGGGCGGUACAAGAUGGCCAUGCGUCCCAUUAGCUUGUUGGUAAGGUAACGGCUUACCAAGGCUACGAUGGGUAGGGGCCCUGAGAGGGGGAUCCCCCACACUGGUACUGAGACACGGACCAGACUCCUACGGGAGGCAGCAGUGAGGAAUAUUGGACAAUGGAGGAGACUCUGAUCCAGCCAUGCCGCGUGCAGGAAGAAUGCCCUAUGGGUAGUAAACUGCUUUUAUACGGGAAGAAAAAGAGCUACGUGUAGCUUACUGACGGUACCGUAAGAAUAAGGACCGGCUAACUCCGUGCCAGCAGCCGCGGUAAUAC